This is a regulatory RNA element of Facklamia hominis, 56 nucleotides long. It matches the Rfam family "Ribosomal protein L13 leader". From Rfam's summary of the family: This family is a putative r-protein leader autoregulatory structure found in B. subtilis and other low-GC Gram-positive bacteria. It is located in the 5' untranslated regions of mRNAs encoding the L13-S9 (rplM-rpsI) ribosomal protein operon. The record is from Rfam. NCBI's taxonomy places the organism in Bacteria, Bacillati, Bacillota, Bacilli, Lactobacillales, Aerococcaceae.
GGUAUUGUUUACCCCACUAAUGAGCCCCGGAAACUCAUAGUAAUUGUAAACAAGAA